Long non-coding RNA from Phyllopteryx taeniolatus (common seadragon), 528 nucleotides. RefSeq lists it as uncharacterized. The record is from RefSeq and is a predicted model, not a curated record. The transcript has 3 exons. Lineage: Eukaryota; Metazoa; Chordata; Actinopteri; Syngnathiformes; Syngnathidae.
UGAGACUGGCAGCGGAAAGAAGCGCGGACAUGGUUACGAUCAAGUGGCGCAUUCAAGUGGACGCGCUUUGCUUUUUGUUUCGGCUUGGGUACAAAAGAAGUUAAAGUUGUGUAGCUCUCGACGAAGAGAGAAUACUAAGUCACGAAUUGUGUAGCCUCAAACUGAGCAGCGGUCAUUGUUAUCUCAUUCUUCAUGGUUACUUAAAAUUGUUUUCCAAUUUCCACACACCGAGCAUGCUCGCAACAUGUUGGGAGCUCAAUGUGCGAGCUUGCCUGGGGGAUGUUCUCAGGACAUGCUUGAAUUCCUGCACCUAAACCAUCUCUCUGGUCAAAAAGAAGUGGGAGGGAGCUCAUAGGAGACCUGUGUGUGAUGGAGGGAGCAAGAGGGUAAAGGUGGAAACUUGAGGGCGACCACACACACCCACUCACCCGAGCCAAGCAGCGAGUUGCCACGGCUUGUGGAAAAACUGCUAGCUGAGGAAGAUGAGAAUGAAGAGGACAAAGGGGUGGUGGUGGGCAAUGAGGAGGG